AAAUAUCUCUUCUUUUUUUUAAA
This 23-nucleotide small nuclear RNA is filed under the name Arabidopsis thaliana (thale cress). Its description in RNAcentral is "snRNA_18445". The record is from RNAcentral. Lineage: Eukaryota; Viridiplantae; Streptophyta; Magnoliopsida; Brassicales; Brassicaceae.